CCGACGCCGGACUGCGCAUCGGGUCGGAGCAAAGAAAAAGUCACUCGCACCCCCCCCCGUCAACAACUCUUCUCGGCUCGAUGCCGGCUCGAUGCCGGCUCGAUCUCGGCUCGAUGCCGGCGCACGCAACGCUGUUGCGUUUUUUUUUACGGUGUGGGGGAUUGGGGGUGCGUGAAUCCGGUCGGGAUGUAGAAGGGGGUGCGUGGCCUAAAAAGUUUGGGAACCGCUGCCCUAACCCAACCCCCGAACCCAACCCCCUAACCCGACCCUAACCCAGACAUGGGCAAACUACGGCCCGUUAGGCUUUUUAAUCCGGCCCGCCGAACUUGUCCAAAUCGCAGCUUUGUUUACUUCCGGUGUGCGUUGGCGGAAAGUACUCGUCACACGAAACCCUUCACCGUGAUUUGUCAAUCCGUUUGUCUGUCAACAUUUUGCGAAAAAAACAACCAAUGAACACUCAGUAAAUCACAAAGGACCCGCCCACCACACAGGUGAGGCUCAUUUAGUAACAGCUGCAGUGAUUUUGGCGAGCAGCGCGGAGCCUGGAGGAGCUGCAGAGCCACGAGGAGGAACACGCAGCCAGAAGAGAUCCACCUGGACCGGAGAGGAUUCACCAGCGCCUGCAGCUCCACCUGCCCGGCCAGCAGAGAGGUCUCGUGACACGAUGACAUGAUGUUUUUAUAGUGAAGCCAUAUUGUAAAUAGUCUGUGUCAAUAGUUGUGUUCUGUUUUCUAUUUCUCAACAUGUAUAUCAUGUAGUUUUAUUUAUUUAUUUAUGUACAAUACAUAUUUAUUUGAAGAAAAAAAAAUGUAAUGGGCAUUUUUAUUUGCACACACCUCAUGAAGCUUUAUCUGCAAGAUGAAGUAAUUUCUCAGUCCCAUCUUUAUCAUUUUGGUGAAUGUGUGACGGACCACAUGUCUACGCAAAAAACGAUAACACAAAAUGUAGUUUUCUACAUUUAUUUACAUGUAUCUAGCAUUGUAUUCAGAUAUUUCACUGCUUUUGUGAACCUAUGACCUUUUUGGUAAACCAAUUUCAAAAACCAAAACAGUUGGUCCACAUGAGUAAAGCUGUGUUUUCAGAAGCGAUAUGAAGAAUUUUUAAAAAUCGAACUUCAAUUUU
Molecule: long non-coding RNA, 1122 nt
Organism: Pseudoliparis swirei
Lineage: Eukaryota; Metazoa; Chordata; Actinopteri; Perciformes; Liparidae
Exons: 2
Source: RefSeq, a predicted model, not a curated record